GGUGGCUCAGUGGAGAGCGCUUGCCUUGCAUGCAUGAGGCCCUGAGUCCGAUUCCUCAGCACCA
RNAcentral lists this transfer RNA (64 nucleotides) under Dipodomys ordii (Ord's kangaroo rat). It matches the Rfam family "tRNA". From Rfam's summary of the family: Transfer RNA (tRNA) molecules are approximately 80 nucleotides in length. Their secondary structure includes four short double-helical elements and three loops (D, anti-codon, and T loops). Lineage: Eukaryota; Metazoa; Chordata; Mammalia; Rodentia; Heteromyidae. The record is from Rfam by way of RNAcentral.